Molecule: ribosomal RNA, 1389 nt
Filed under: Enterococcus durans
Lineage: Bacteria; Bacillati; Bacillota; Bacilli; Lactobacillales; Enterococcaceae
Description: bacterial SSU rRNA
Rfam family: Bacterial small subunit ribosomal RNA
Source: RNAcentral
CUUGCUCCACCGGAAAAAGAAGAGUGGCGAACGGGUGAGUAACACGUGGGUAACCUGCCCAUCAGAAGGGGAUAACACUUGGAAACAGGUGCUAAUACCGUAUAACAAUCGAAACCGCAUGGUUUUGAUUUGAAAGGCGCUUUCGGGUGUCGCUGAUGGAUGGACCCGCGGUGCAUUAGCUAGUUGGUGAGGUAACGGCUCACCAAGGCCACGAUGCAUAGCCGACCUGAGAGGGUGAUCGGCCACAUUGGGACUGAGACACGGCCCAAACUCAUACGGGAGGCAGCAGUAGGGAAUCUUCGGCAAUGGACGAAAGUCUGACCGAGCAACGCCGCGUGAGUGAAGAAGGUUUUCGGAUCGUAAAACUCUGUUGUUAGAGAAGAACAAGGAUGAGAGUAACUGUUCAUCCCUUGACGGUAUCUAACCAGAAAGCCACGGCUAACUACGUGCCAGCAGCCGCGGUAAUACGUAGGUGGCAAGCGUUGUCCGGAUUUAUUGGGCGUAAAGCGAGCGCAGGCGGUUUCUUAAGUCUGAUGUGAAAGCCCCCGGCUCAACCGGGGAGGGUCAUUGGAAACUGGGAGACUUGAGUGCAGAAGAGGAGAGUGGAAUUCCAUGUGUAGCGGUGAAAUGCGUAGAUAUAUGGAGGAACACCAGUGGCGAAGGCGGCUCUCUGGUCUGUAACUGACGCUGAGGCUCGAAAGCGUGGGGAGCAAACAGGAUUAGAUACCCUGGUAGUCCACGCCGUAAACGAUGAGUGCUAAGUGUUGGAGGGUUUCCGCCCUUCAGUGCUGCAGCUAACGCAUUAAGCACUCCGCCUGGGGAGUACGACCGCAAGGUUGAAACUCAAAGGAAUUGACGGGGGCCCGCACAAGCGGUGGAGCAUGUGGUUUAAUUCGAAGCAACGCGAAGAACCUUACCAGGUCUUGACAUCCUUUGACCACUCUAGAGAUAGAGCUUCCCCUUCGGGGGCAAAGUGACAGGUGGUGCAUGGUUGUCGUCAGCUCGUGUCGUGAGAUGUUGGGUUAAGUCCCGCAACGAGCGCAACCCUUAUUGUUAGUUGCCAUCAUUUAGUUGGGCACUCUAGCAAGACUGCCGGUGACAAACCGGAGGAAGGUGGGGAUGACGUCAAAUCAUCAUGCCCCUUAUGACCUGGGCUACACACGUGCUACAAUGGGAAGUACAACGAGUCGCGAAGUCGCGAGGCUAAGCUAAUCUCUUAAAGCUUCUCUCAGUUCGGAUUGUAGGCUGCAACUCGCCUACAUGAAGCCGGAAUCGCUAGUAAUCGCGGAUCAGCACGCCGCGGUGAAUACGUUCCCGGGCCUUGUACACACCGCCCGUCACACCACGAGAGUUUUAACACCCGAAGUCGGUGAGGUAACCUUUGAGCCA